GACAGAGGGGGCAAGCGUUGCUCGGAAUCACUGGGCGUAAAGGGCGCGUAGGCGGGAUGGCAAGUCGGUCGUGAAAUCCUUCGGCUCAACCGAAGAACGUCGGCCGAUACUGCCGUUCUUGAGGGAUGCAGAGGAGAUUGGAAUUCCGGGUGGAGUGGUGAAAUGCGUAGAGAUCCGGAGGAACACCAGAGGCGAAGGCGGCCUACUGGGUCAGUACUGACGCUGAGCCGCGAAAGCCAGGGGAGCGAACGGG
Molecule: ribosomal RNA, 253 nt
Filed under: uncultured bacterium
Lineage: Bacteria
Description: partial 16S ribosomal RNA
Rfam family: Bacterial small subunit ribosomal RNA
Source: RNAcentral